GGGGGCAGCAAUGGGGAAUUUGCCCCAUGGGGAAAGCCUGAUGCAGGGAGCCGCUUGAGGAUGAAAGCCUUCGGGUUUAAACUUUUUCAGCAGGAAGAAGCGCAAGUGACGGUACCUGCAGAAGAAGCGCCGGCUAACUACGUGCCAGCAGCCGCGGUAAUACGUAGGGCGCAAGCGUUGUUCGGGAAUUAUUGGGCGUAAAGAGCUCGUAGGCGGGUUUGUCGCGUCUGGUGUGAAAACUCGAGGCUCAACCUCGAGCUUGCAUCGGGUACGGGCAGACUAGAGUGCGGUAGGGGAGACUGGAAUUCCUGGUGUAGCGGUGGAAUGCGCAGAUAUCAGGAGGAACACCGAUGGCGAAGGCAGGUCUCUGGGCCGCAACUGACGCUGAGGAGCGAAAGCAUGGGGAGCGAACAGGAUUAGAUACCCUGGUAGUCCAUGCCGUAAACGUUGGGCACUAGGUGUGGGGCUCAUUCCACGAGUUCCGUGCCGCAGCAAACGCAUUAAGUGCCCCGCCUGGGGAGUACGGCCGCAAGGCUAAAACUCAAAGGAAUUGACGGGGGCCCGCACAAGCGGCGGAGCAUGCGGAUUAAUUCGAUGCAACGCGAAGAACCUUACCAAGGCUUGACAUGCACGAGAAGCCACCAGAGAUGGUGGUCUCUUUGGACACUCGUGCACAGGUGGUGCAUGGUUGUCGUCAGCUCGUGUCGUGAGAUGUUGGGUUAAGUCCCGCAACGAGCGCAACCCUCGUCCCAUGUUGCCAGCGGGUUAUGCCGGGGACUCAUGGGAGACUGCCGGGGUCAACUCGGAGGAAGGUGGGGAUGACGUCAAAUCAUCAUGCCCCUUAUGUCUUGGGCUUCACGCAUGCUACAAUGGCCGGUACAAAGGGCUGCGAUACCGUAAGGUGGAGCGAAUCCCAAAAAGCCGGUCUCAGUUCGGAUUGGGGUCUGCAACUCGACCCCAUGAAGUCGGAGUCGCUAGUAAUCGCAGAUCAGCAACGCUGCGGUGAAUACGUUCCCGGGCCUUGUACACACCGCCCGUCAAGUCACGAAAGUCGGUAACACCCGAAGCCCAUGGCCCAACCGUUCGCGGGGGGAGUGUCGAAAGUGA
Molecule: ribosomal RNA, 1107 nt
Filed under: Cellulosimicrobium sp. 112-3
Lineage: Bacteria; Bacillati; Actinomycetota; Actinomycetes; Micrococcales; Promicromonosporaceae
Description: bacterial SSU rRNA
Rfam family: Bacterial small subunit ribosomal RNA
Source: RNAcentral